GCAAGUCGAGCGCACCUUCGGGUGAGCGGCGGACGGGUUAGUAACGCGUGGGAAUAUACCCUUCACUAAGGAAUAGCCUCGGGAAACGGAGAGUAAUACCGUAUACGCCCUUUGGGGGAAAGAUUUAUCGGUGAAGGAUUAGCCCGCGUUGGAUUAGGUAGUUGGUGGGGUAAUGGCCUACCAAGCCUACGAUCCAUAGCUGGUUUGAGAGGAUGAUC
RNAcentral lists this ribosomal RNA (218 nucleotides) under uncultured bacterium. Its description in RNAcentral is "partial 16S ribosomal RNA". It matches the Rfam family "Bacterial small subunit ribosomal RNA", at positions 57 to 305 of the family's 1533-position model. The record is from RNAcentral.